RNAcentral lists this unclassified non-coding RNA (226 nucleotides) under uncultured fungus. RNAcentral's name for it is "sequence contains ITS1, 5.8S rRNA gene". The stretch from base 178 to 226 matches the Rfam family "5.8S ribosomal RNA", at positions 1 to 49 of the family's 154-position model. Lineage: Eukaryota; Fungi. The record is from RNAcentral.
UCUCUGUAGGUGAACCUGCGGAGGGAUCAUUACUGAGUGCGGGCUUCGGUCCGACCUCCCAACCUUUUUGAAACAAACUUGUUGCUUCGGGGGCGACCCUGCCGCUUCGGCGGUGCGGCGCCCCCGGAGGCCAUUAAACACUGCAUCAUUGCGUCGGAGUUAAAGUAAAUUAAACAAAACUUUCAACAGCGGAUCUCUUGGUUCCAGCAUCGAUGAAGAACGCAGC